RNAcentral lists this ribosomal RNA (387 nucleotides) under uncultured bacterium. RNAcentral's name for it is "bacterial SSU rRNA". It matches the Rfam family "Archaeal small subunit ribosomal RNA", at positions 339 to 726 of the family's 1478-position model. The record is from RNAcentral.
GCGCGAAAACUUUACAAUGCUGGCAACAGCGAUAAGGGAACCUCGAGUGCCAGGUUACAAAUCUGGCUGUCGAGAUGCCUAAAAAGCAUUUCAUAGCAAGGGCCGGGCAAGACCGGUGCCAGCCGCCGCGGUAACACCGGCGGCUCGAGUGGUAACCGUUAUUAUUGGGUCUAAAGGGUCUGUAGCCGGCCGGAUAAGUCUCUUGAGAAAUCUGGCAGCUUAACUGUCGGGCUUUCAGGAGAUACUGUCUGGCUCGAGGCCGGGAGAGGUGAGAGGUACUUCAGGGGUAGGGGUGAAAUCUUGUAAUCCUUGAAGGACCACCAGUGGCGAAGGCGUCUCACCAGAACGGACCUGACGGCAAGGGACGAAAGCUAGGGGCACGAACCG